Phoenix dactylifera (date palm) is the source of this 4589-nucleotide non-coding RNA. The record is from RefSeq and is a predicted model, not a curated record. NCBI's taxonomy places the organism in Eukaryota, Viridiplantae, Streptophyta, Magnoliopsida, Arecales, Arecaceae.
UAGACGUGGACAUGAGCUCACGAACAGAAUCGUAGUUUCUACAUCACUCCCAAGAACAGAAUCGUAGUUUCUACGUCACCCUUUCUCCGCGGAGGGAGAGAAGAGAAAAACGAGCCAAAAACGAGGCUUUCCAAUUCCUAAGGUCUCUAACCCUAAUUCCUAUCCAUUCCCCCCAAUUUUAGCAUCUCCGUUCCCUCAGUUCUUCGAUUUUAUCCGUAAAUCGUCAAAUUCUUUGAAUAUUAUUGCAUUUCUCCAACUUUUUGGAGGAAGAAACUCGAUUAUCUUUUUUGCAUAAAGAUUCUAUUUUUUCCAUUUUUUUACCUUUAUAUGUUCCCAAGAUCCGUCCGGGAUCGACGACGGCGGCGGCGCCAGAGGCGGUGCUGCUGACGUCGGGGGUCAGCGGGCGGGUGAACGCCGUCCUCUCCCUCCGCGUCCUCCGGCGCCUCCUAUUCCUCCUCCCCGCUUUCCUCCUCUUCAUCCUCCGGUGGCAGCCGAGGUCGCCGCCAUGCCUGGGCCCUGCGGCAGGGGCUCACCGACGGGAGGAAAGUAGGAAGGGCGGGGCGGGAGCGGUGGUGGUAAGGGUGCCGGCAGCGAUGGUGCCGCGGAGGCAGAGGGAGCAGGAGGCGGCGGCGAGGCGCGCGGCCGCGGUCCGGGGGGUGGUGGCGGCGAGGGAGGAGGGGAGGACAGAGAGAGAGAGGGAUUUCUCAUUGUUUGCUCUUCACCCAGUCGUGGACUCCUGUCACCGUCAAGACCAAGGUUCCUUUUUAUUUAUACCUUACCUGAUUUUGGCCAGGGGCCUGCUUGUUCUUAUGCAUGAUCUGAACGAACAAUGUGGCAGAUAUGAUCAUUUUGCAAAGAAGCUGAAUGAUGAUGGUCUUAAAGUGUAUGCCAUGGAUUGGAUUGAGGCACUGGAUUCGUAGAAUCUGUCGGAUGGGACAAGAAGUGAGAUCGAUCUGGAGUCAGACUACCAGAUAGUUAGAAUUAAACUACCUGCAAAUGAGUAGUUAGCAGUGGUGCUGUAAAGGGCAUUGGAGAUUAAACAUUUCUUUGUUCAAAAACCAUGGCCCAGCAAGCAAGGACAUAGAAGCAACCAACUAUCCGUGUCACAUCAAUCUGGUGGCAAGCAAGAGAAGACAUGCAUUGAGAAGUUUGUGAAUAAUUCAGCCCACAGAUUGAACUUAUUAAGCUACAAUUUUUAUUCUCUGUCAUUUCAGCAAGGUACAGUUUUCAAAUAAUUUUCCCCGAGUUGCUUAACUGUGACUAGGUUCAUGUUUUUGUUUGUAGUUUGAGACUUCUAUUAUAUCAUUACCAUGGCAUGGUUAGAUCCAAUAAUAACGUCAAUUACACCCGGACUACUUAAAAUUAAUGCAAAUUUGACGGAAGGCAUCAUAUCCAGAAAGAAAAUAAUUUUCAAAAUAUGUUGAAAAAUAAUGCAAAUCACUUAGGAUGGUUUAUGCUGUUUCUCAGGGGGUAUUGGUGCUGAUUUAUAUUUUGCAUAUAAUUUCAAACAAUGAUAGGCCAUUUUAAAUUGUUAAGAUCAACAUACUAGAAUCUAGUCUUGUAAUGAUUCCUCCAUGCUAGGUUGGGUUUUGGAUAAGUUUGUUUGCAGGCUGUAUUUAAUUUGGUAUAAGAGAUAAAGUUGUUAUUCUGGUACAAGAAAAUCUGGAACAUGGAGCAAGAGAACAUAAUGGACAAGCCUUCAAUUCUUAUUUCUUCUUGAACUUGACUGUGUUUGAUUCCCUAUUUAUAGGCCUCAUAAGAAGAUUUACAUGAUCUAUUUCACAAAAUCUUGGAAUAAUUAAUUGAAACUUAUGUUUAGGACAUAGCCCUACAUUUUCAUGAUAAAUUAUAAGAUCUUGUUAACUAUUUUGUGGGUCGUAAUAUGUGCAUGGAACGAAGUUUUCUUCACAUAACUCAGGUGAGGAUUUCACUUGACAUAUAAAGAGGCACAGAGGUGAACGCCCAAUCUCAACACUGUGCCAUGGGCUAUCUUAAAUUGUUUUGUACUUUCUUUUUUUUCAUGAACAAAAUUUCUUUGUACUUUUCUUUUAUUUAAAUUGGUUAAUAUUCACUUUUUCUCUUUCAUCUAAAUUAAUUAAUAUAGUUCCAUUGAAUAUUUUUCCAUCAUGGCCUUCUUAUAAAUAAUGUUGAUGACGAUCAUAAAGAAAAUGAAUUGAAUUGUGUGAUUGUGUGACCCGAAACAGAUGGGAAGUUUUGUCAACUAUUGUGUGAUUAAGAAUCUCAUUCAAUUGUCUCUCAAAUGUAGUUGCCAAGGGAACAAUUGACCCAUGAUGUGAUAUCCAAAGUUUAAUAUCCUUCUCUUUUGAAUGUUAGCUAACAACCCUACGUUUAGUGGCCUCUUUUUUAAGUUCAGAGCCCCUCUUUAUCAUAAUUUACAUGAAAUCAUUUAAAAUUAUAUGAACUCAAGAGCCUAAAUUUAUAAAUUAUAACCUUCAAUAAAGAAUCAUCAGUUAAUAAAAUAAUCACAAGUGGCCUACCUUGUGACCUAUAAAAUUAUCAAUUAUUACGUCCGGCAUUGUCACUCCAUGUUGUGGGGUUCAACCAACUUUAUCUCUGUCCUAUCUGCUAGUAGUAAUAAGGGAGGUGCUUGAAAGCGAAGCACUAAAUUUAGUGUUUGAGCCACACUGAAAAACUAUACUAAAGUUCACCAAGCUUUGGUUAUUGCAUGGCAUGUCUUGUUCUCAAACAAUUAUUUUAUCUAUUGAUGAAGAUGAGUAAUUUUGGCAGGCCAAUAGAUACAAUCCUAAUGAAUAACAGCAUCAGCAUGUACUACUGCCAUUGCCACGUACUACAUAUUAGACCACCUAUGGUGCAAUAAUUCUGACUUCUGGUGUUCAAUAUGCAUUUCAUGCCACAAGAAUAAUAGUAACAUGUUAAGUUAAUGAAAUUUGUAAGAUUUGCUCAAACCUCGCAUUUCAUCAUCAUUUUCAUUCAUUUCUUAUAACAAUUGUGGUUAUUAGUUACAUUGUAAUUAGUAUUUUUCAUUUCGCAUCAUAAAUUCAGAUGAACGCGAUAUACCAAGACAACAGACUCUGUUAGCUAUAUAUACUGAGUAUUACAGAAGGGAAUCAGUUGCCAGGCUCCUACCACUGAACAGAGUAGUGCAAAUCCAAUACACACUUCUCUCGUGGUGCAAACCCAAUACCUAAUCUGGUCAUUGUUUACUGGCCUUUCCAAGAUUCUUACAUGCCAUAUGCUUGAAAGAUGAUAAGAAGCCAAAAGCAAGUUAGUUAUGUUUUGUUAUUAUAGAAAACUACAACUUAUGAAAUGCAUGGAUUAUUUUUUUCAUCUCCUUCACAUCACAGCUCAAUGAAUGCUUCCCCAGUUGUGUUGGCUCAGAGUUUUAAAAAACUUAUCAGGCAGCUCAAAAAAAAUUCCAACUUGUCCUAUAAAUGAAUUUCCUUAGUGUCUUCUUCUCUCUCUCUUUUUUUAUGUAUUUAUAGCUGGGAGGGUCAAUAUCCCUUGAACAGUUUGAAUGCGUAAGGUUACACUCUGACUUCUCUAACUCUAACAACGCAUUGUCCUGCCUAUCUAGUUAUAAGAGAAGAUUAGAUUACAGGUGAUCAUUUUAGAUCAUGAGAAGUGCCGACAAUCUCCCUAGUCCCAAGUAAAUGUUGAUUAGAUGGCUUGAUCAAAACUGGCUGAUCGAUCUGUUAUAUUAUAAUUGGUAACACAAGAAACGGAGGAGUGAUUUCACCUGAUAAGAAGAGCCCAAUGAGUGAUGAUUAUUACAUCAAAAUAGUUUAAAUCAGUAUUCCAUAGUGGGAUUCAAUAAAAUAGAGCAUGCCAAAGCAGUUUCAACCACGAAUUAAGUACCUCGAUUUUGACAGGUGCUCAAAUAGUGUUGAAUGUUCAUUUCUCUUUUGACUGAAUGGGAAACAAUUGCCAUCCGGAUUGUCUUAUUGAUGGGAGAAGUUAUGUUGGAUGUUCGUUUCAUAAGCCAUUUCACUCCAAAUUAAGAGCAUUUUUUUUCUAUAUAUCAGAAAGCUUUGUAUAUAACCUGAUUUGGAUAGAAUGUGAACUAUAAAUGCAUUAGUUAAAAAGGAGCACCUCAGCGCUCCGUAUGAUUUCCACGAAUUGAUGGAACCGCAUACGAUGUCUCAAUUCCUUAGAAGGUACAGUAUGAAACUUUAAUCCUUAAAAUACUCAGUUUUGGUGUAUUUUGCCUCUGAAAAAUGAACUCUCUUCCCUUUUUUUGGAGGAAAUACAAAAUGUAUUACUAUAAAAUGAACUAUCAUGUAAUAAAAUUUAUUACCCAAUGGUUAGCAGUUUCUAGUGGGAUUGGAUCAGAGCCUUUAUCCACAUUGUCACUAACAACUUGUUAUUAAACUAAAACUUAAAGAACACUCUUACUUAUGCAUAAAAUAAAUAGAGAGGAUCCAUUAUCAGUCCUUUUUUUAGGAAUAUUCAAUUAUUAGAUGUUUGAACUCAAAAGAAGCAGCAGCAUAGUCUUUUCUUAGCAACAUUAUUAGAUCAGAAGGAAAGUUAAUGAACAACUAUUUUUAUGAAAAAAUUGAAGAACAUGACCAUAUUGGCUCGAAGAUCUGCAACUUGUUAUUAAACUAUAA